This 926-nucleotide long non-coding RNA is filed under the name Pan troglodytes (chimpanzee). RNAcentral describes it as "long non-coding RNA NONPTRT001045". Lineage: Eukaryota; Metazoa; Chordata; Mammalia; Primates; Hominidae. The record is from RNAcentral.
GGGAGCUACUGUCCCUGGGUGUAGGUGUCACGGGAAGUGGGAGAUGCAGCAGGACUCUCCUGAUGCUUCUAAGGAGAAGGCCGUGUGGAGGUGGAGGCCUGGGAGUAUUGUGCAGGGGUCAUCAAGGGCUCCACCCCUGCCCUGCCUGCCCAGCCAGCCCACUCCUCUAAGGAGUAAGCUGAGAACCUGGGCUCAGAGAGCACUGUUCAGAGUGGAGACCUCUACCCAUCUCCUCCCCAGCAGGGCUGGAAGGUGCGGGUAAGGUGCUCAGCACAGACAGUGGGGUGAAGGCCAGAGGAAUGUGGGGUAAAGCUAUUUCCUGCCCUCUCAAACCGGAGGGCCUUCUAUGGUCCUCCCUGUGUCUGUGGCUCCCUCCCAGGACUGGGGAGUAAGAGACCAGGGUCUCAGGGUCAGUUCAAUGUAGCAGAGAGAACUGGGCUUCAGCCACAUCCCAGCCCUCCCAGGGGAACCAAGCGGGUGGCCAGCUCACUGGGUGGCGAUGCCUUUCCUGUGAAGAGUGGGUCGUGUCCUCAGGGAGGUUUGGCAGCUGAGGGCACUCAGUGACUCUGACGUGGGGCUCCCUGACAUCUUGUUUUUAGAUUCCAUACUCCUCCUCAUCACCUGGUACCUAUGUGGGACCCCCUGGUGGUGGCGGCCCUCCAGGAACACCUAUUAUGCCCAGUCCCGCAGAUUCAACAAAUUCCAGUGACAACAUCUACACAAUGAUUAAUCCGGUGCCGCCUGGAGGCAGCCGGUCCAACUUCCCGAUGGGUCCCGGCUCGGACGGUCCGAUGGGCGGCAUGGGUGGCAUGGAGCCACACCACAUGAAUGGAUCAUUAGGGUCAGGGGACAUAGACGGACUUCCAAAAAAUUCUCCUAACAACAUAAGUGGCAUUAGCAAUCCUCCAGGCACCCCUCGAGAUGAC